This is a small RNA of Rhizobium sp. Leaf306, 290 nucleotides long. It matches the Rfam family "5' ureB small RNA". NCBI's taxonomy places the organism in Bacteria, Pseudomonadati, Pseudomonadota, Alphaproteobacteria, Hyphomicrobiales, Rhizobiaceae. The record is from Rfam.
CUUCCUCGAUCUGCUGCGGGCAGAUGAAAUGGAUAUGCGCAUCCAUGCCGCCGGCGGUCAGGAUCUUGCCUUCGCCGGCAAUCGCCUCGGUGGAUGGUCCGACGAUGAUCGUCACGCCCGGUUGCGUAUCCGGAUUGCCCGCCUUGCCGAUCGCAUGGAUCCGGCCGUCCUUCAGACCGACAUCGGCCUUGUAGAUGCCGGAGUGAUCGACGAUCAGCGCAUUGGUGAUGACAGUAUCGACAGCGCCCUCGGCCCGCGUUGCCUGGCUCUGUCCCAUGCCGUCACGAAUG